CCAGACUCCUACGGGAGGCAGCAGUGAGGAAUAUUGGUCAAUGGGCUUACGCCUGAACCAGCCAAGUCGCGUGAGGGAAGACUGCCCUAUGGGUUGUAAACCUCUUUUGUCAGGGACGAAGCAAGUGACGGUACCUGACGAAUAAGCCACGGCUAACUACGUGCCAGCAGCCGCGGUAAUACGUAGGUGGCAAGCGUUAUCCGGAUUUAUUGGGUGUAAAGGGCGUGUAGGCGGGAAUGCAAGUCAGGUGUGAAAACUAUGGGCUCAACCCAUAGCCUGCAUUUGAAACUGUAUUUCUUGAGUGCUGGAGAGGCAAUCGGAAUUCCGUGUGUAGCGGUGAAAUGCGUAGAUAUACGGAGGAACACCAGUGGCGAAGGCGGAUUGCUGGACAGUAACUGACGCUGAGGCGCGAAAGCGUGGGGAGCAAACAGGAUUAGAUACCCUCGUAU
Molecule: ribosomal RNA, 449 nt
Filed under: uncultured bacterium
Lineage: Bacteria
Description: bacterial SSU rRNA
Rfam family: Bacterial small subunit ribosomal RNA
Source: RNAcentral